RNAcentral lists this ribosomal RNA (272 nucleotides) under uncultured bacterium. Its description in RNAcentral is "partial 16S ribosomal RNA". It matches the Rfam family "Bacterial small subunit ribosomal RNA", at positions 524 to 794 of the family's 1533-position model. The record is from RNAcentral.
UACGAAGGGAGCUAGCGUUGUUCGGAAUUACUGGGCGUAAAGAGCGCGUAGGCGGUUUAACAAGUCAGGCGUGAAAGCCCUGGGCUCAACCCGGGAAUUGCGCUUGAGACUGUUUUUCUAAGCGUACGAGAGAGGUAAGUGGAAUUCCCAGUGUAGCAGUGAAAUGCGUAGAUAUUGGGAGGAACACCAGUGGCGAAGGCGGCUUACUGGCUCGUGACUGACGCUAAGGCGCGAAAGCGUGGGGAGCAAACAGGAUUAGAUACCCGAGUAGU